UUUUGAUGAAACUGUUUAAUGCACACAUUUGAGUCUGUCUUAAGACUUUUCCCCCCUUUAUUAGGAAAUAUUUCAAAGAAGCGUGUAAUGUCCCUGAGCCAGAAGAGAAGUUUAAUAUGGACAAAUACACAGACCUGGUGACAGUCAGCAAACCAGUCAUUUAUAUUUCAAUUGAAGAAAUCAUCAGCACACACUCACUCCUGUUGGAACACCAGGAUGCAAUUGCCCCUGAGAAAAAUGACUUACUGAGUGAAUUGCUGGGGUCGCUGGGAGAGGUGCCGACCGUGGAAUCUUUUCUUGGGGAAGGAGCAGUUGACCCCAAUGACCCUAACAAGGCAAAUACACUAAGUCAGCUUUCAAAGACCGAGAUUUCUCUUGUCUUGACAAGCAAAUAUGACAUAGAGGACGGUGAAGCUAUAGAUAGCCGAAGCCUCAUGAUAAAGACCAAGAAGCUGAUAAUUGAUGUGAUCCGGAACCAGCCAGGGAACACAUUGACAGAAAUCUUAGAGACACCAGCAACUGCGCAACAGGAGGUAGACCAUGCUACGGACAUGGUGAGCCGUGCAAUGAUAGAUUCCAGGAC
Molecule: small RNA, 583 nt
Filed under: Pongo abelii (Sumatran orangutan)
Lineage: Eukaryota; Metazoa; Chordata; Mammalia; Primates; Hominidae
Description: retained intron
Source: RNAcentral